GACGAACGCUGGCGGCGUGCUUAACACAUGCAAGUCGAACGGAAAGGCCCUGCUUUUGUGGGGUGCUCGAGUGGCGAACGGGUGAGUAACACGUGAGUAACCUGCCCUUGACUUUGGGAUAACUUCAGGAAACUGGGGCUAAUACCGGAUAGGAGCUCCUGCUGCAUGGUGGGGGUUGGAAAGUUUCGGAGGUUGGGGAUGGACUCGCGGCUUAUCAGCUUGUUGGUGGGGUAGUGGCUUACCAAGGCUUUGACGGGUAGCCGGCCUGCGAGGGUGACCGGCCACAUUGGGACUGAGAUGCGGCCCAGACUCCUACGGGAGGCAGCAGUGGGGAAUAUUGCACAAUGGGAGGAAGCCUGAUGCAGCAACGCAGCGUGCGGGAUGACGGCCUUCGGGUUGGAAACCGCUUUCGCCUGUGACGAAGCGUGAGUGACGGUAAUGGGUAAAGAGGCACCGGCUAACUACGUG
RNAcentral lists this ribosomal RNA (468 nucleotides) under uncultured bacterium. RNAcentral's name for it is "partial 16S ribosomal RNA". It matches the Rfam family "Bacterial small subunit ribosomal RNA", at positions 28 to 507 of the family's 1533-position model. The record is from RNAcentral.